Molecule: ribosomal RNA, 381 nt
Filed under: uncultured bacterium
Lineage: Bacteria
Description: bacterial SSU rRNA
Rfam family: Bacterial small subunit ribosomal RNA
Source: RNAcentral
GACGAACGCUGGCGGCGUGCUUAACACAUGCAAGUCGAGCGGAAAGGCCCUUCGGGGUACUCGAGCGGCGAACGGGUGAGUAACACGUGGGUAACCUGCCCUUCACUCUGGGAUAACUCCGGGAAACCGGGGCUAAUACCGGAUACGACCACUUUAGGCAUCUUCGGUGGUGGAAAGUUUUUCGGUGGAGGAUGGACCCGCGGCCUAUCAGCUUGUUGGUGGGGUAAUGGCCUACCAAGGCAGUGACGGGUAGCCGCCNGAGAGGCGACCGGCCACACUGGGACUGAGACACGGCCCAGACUCCUACGGGAGGCAGCAGUGGGGAAUAUUGCGCAAUGGGCGGAAGCCUGACGCAGCGACGCCGCGUGAGGGAUGACGGCC